GGGGAUGUGGUCCAAUGGUUAGGAUACUGCUCGGUUGGUACCGCUUUGCAGUACUGUCGUUGGGAGCGUACACGCUUCCUCACGCGGGGUGACCCGGAGCAGUGAUGAUGGUUCAAAUCACGCCAUCUCCA
Elasticomyces elasticus is the source of this 131-nucleotide non-coding RNA. The record is from the annotation of a GenBank genome assembly. Lineage: Eukaryota; Fungi; Ascomycota; Dothideomycetes; Mycosphaerellales; Teratosphaeriaceae.